This 231-nucleotide long non-coding RNA is filed under the name Macaca mulatta (Rhesus monkey). RNAcentral describes it as "lncRNA (ENSMMUG00000055404.1)". Lineage: Eukaryota; Metazoa; Chordata; Mammalia; Primates; Cercopithecidae. The record is from RNAcentral.
CAGGAUAUUGUCAUUGGAAUUAUGAGUUUAGUGGUUACAGAGUUCUCAAGUACCAAGGCCAAUUUGCAAAAAAAUUAGCUAUAACUAAACUGAAUGUACGUCACAAUAGAUAUCUUACUCAAUUGCCUAGAAUUUAAUAAGCAUCUCCAGCCACAUUCUGUAGAGAAAGGCAGUGAAUGUCAGACUCACCCGUCUCCUUUCAGCUCUUCAAUCAGGACAGCAAAACUUUAG